CACACUCCUGAUUAGUUAGUUAUUUUUAAUAGGGACAAAAUGUGGACAAGAUUUGAAGGCUUAAAAAAACAAACAUUUUUCUUUCUUUCUUUCUUUCUUUUUUUUUUUUUUUGCUGAUGAAGAUUCACCCUGAGCUAACAUCUGUGCCAACCUUUCUCUAUUUUCCUUGUAGGUUCUGCCACAGCAUAGCCGCCACCGAGCGGUGCAGGUCGUGCCCCAAACCAGGUCCGCAAUCGAGCGGAGCUUGAAUAAUUUAACCAGUAGGCUACCAGGCUGGCCCCCAAAACAAACUUUUUAAAUUGGGAAACAGGAAAUACACAUAGAUAACCUACAUGGAUUGCUUUUUGAAUCUAUAUACUAGAUCCAGAACGGAGGGCUUCGUGGGCCCCUCCCUAGAUUGCAAUUAAGACGUGUGAAUAAAGUCCCGUCCCAUCCGGGAGUUAGAGAUAAUCUAAUCAACCGAGAAGGCGAGGUCUGCCCGCUCCCUCAGGAGUAUAAAAGGAGCUGAGAGAGGCAUGGGCGACCCACUUCGGGAGCUGAGAGCGAAGUCACCAAGUGUGGGACUUUGAGACAGUGGAACCUACCCCAGGAGCCGACGGCGGGAGAGGGGCACGGUUGGUGACUCAAGUUGGAGUAGAAGCUGCUGUGAUAACUGAGUGGUUUUCACACAUGGUUUUGGUCUCCAAGCUCAACAGUGAAAGCCAAAGGUCACCGUGCUUCCUCUUUAUAAAUAAGCAAUUACACGGGUGACCUAAAAAUAGAGUUCUUGUUGGCCAAGACAGGUUAAUGAGAGCCGACUUGGAAUCCUGUCGCAUGGUAGAGCUGUUUCCGUGCCAUGUGUAGCUAGGUUUGUCAGUCUUCUCUGGUCAGUAGCACAUGUUUUAGAUCAUGAUGCGUCCACACAGGAAUCGCAGCUAAGGAAGGUGUGGUUGACUGGUGAAGAGAUGAUUGCAUUGUCUCUGAUCAGGUCAGGGGGUUGGAAUUCAGUGUCUUUGUGUAUAGGAGCAAGAAAGGGAAAGUAUGACUGCAAACUCACGCAGGGGUUCUAGGAGACCAGAAAGGAGGAGGAAACUGUGAUGUGAACAGCAAAGCCAAACUCUUGCCCAGUUUGGGAGUGUAAUUGUAAUGGAGUACAAUUAACUU
This 1143-nucleotide long non-coding RNA is filed under the name Equus caballus (horse). RNAcentral describes it as "lncRNA (ENSECAG00000049562.1)". The record is from RNAcentral. Lineage: Eukaryota; Metazoa; Chordata; Mammalia; Perissodactyla; Equidae.